AGUGAACGCUGGCGGUAGGCCUAACACAUGCAAGUCGAACGGCAGCACAGCAGUAGCAAUACUGUGGGUGGCGAGUGGCGGACGGGUGAGGAAUACAUCGGAAUCUACCUUUUCGUGGGGGGAUAACGUAGGGAAACUUACGCUAAUACCGCAUAAGACCUACGGGUGAAAGUGGGGGACCUUCGGGCCUCACGCGGAUA
This 200-nucleotide ribosomal RNA is filed under the name uncultured bacterium. RNAcentral describes it as "partial 16S ribosomal RNA". It matches the Rfam family "Bacterial small subunit ribosomal RNA", at positions 29 to 223 of the family's 1533-position model. The record is from RNAcentral.